GGUGGCUCAGUGGUAGAGUGCUUGCCUUGCAUGCAUGAGACCCUGGGUUCCAUUCCUCAGCACCA
Molecule: non-coding RNA, 65 nt
Organism: Dipodomys ordii (Ord's kangaroo rat)
Lineage: Eukaryota; Metazoa; Chordata; Mammalia; Rodentia; Heteromyidae
Source: Rfam